CUUGUCCGAGAAGCCCCUGAGGGCACGUCUGGACCCAGGAGUGGCUGCGACUUCCUUUCAGAGAGGGAAGGGGUGGCAUGCCUUCCCCUCGGGUUCCAGAACAUUCCUGACCAGAGUCCCUGCUGUUCCUGAGACACUGCUGUGCACCUGGGGCUGGUGCCCACCUUUCCAGGGGUAGGAGGAGCUUGGGCCUGCAGCGUCCACACCUGCCGCGUAUCACACCUCAAGGGUGCUGAGGUCCCUGUCCUGGCAGCCCUGGGCUCUCACUUGUCCCCUGCCCUCAUGGGGAAGUGGGAGGGCAGAACUGGUGCCCACCCUACCCGGCCCACGAGGCACCCACAGGCAAACGGUCCUGCUCCCUAAUCGGAGCUCCAGGGCCAGCCGGCCAAGCCUCCCAGAUAAGAGCGUGGCUGGCAUUUCCCGUGGCGGCCGCCCCUUCUGGGUAUGGGUAUCACACACUGCCAGAGAGGGCUGGCUCUGAUAAAGGUGGCCGUUCCACUCGCCCAGGGGCAGAACCCACCACUCAGGGAUGGCCGGGGGCUGGGCGAGGGGCCUCCAAGGAGUCCAGGGAUCGGAGGGGUGUGGGGCUGGGGACCAGGGCAAUGGUCACCAUGACAACCCAUCUCCCUGGACCAGGGUUCAGGAUGCGUCUCCAAGGGGCUGUGCACGGGAAAGGUGCCUCUUGGGGGUGGAUGCAGGUGCCUGGAUUGGUAAGGGGAGCAUGGCUGAUCUUAGCCCCAGCUCACCCCAGGUGCCCUUGUGCAGCAUUCGACCUGUGCAACUGAACAUAGAGGCCGUGGUGGUUCUCAACGCUCUUCUGCUCACAUAACCUAUUUCCAGCCCUGUUCCUGCAGAGACCCUCUCCCAACCGGAAGUAAAAUCGCAUUGGAAAGUGGGGGUGGGUGAGGCCUCCUACUCCUGGCAGAUGGGGUGCCUCCUGAGGACUUGGCUCAAGGCUGAGAAUGGAUGGAAGUGUCCGUGAGUGAGGCUCCAGAACAACUGGGUGAGCCCAGCAGAGAUGCCAGCUCCGGCCAGGUUGUCUCUGCAGCUGAAGAAUGGGGACGCUAGCUGUGGCUCCCAAAAACCCACGAACCCAACAUGAGUGCCCGCCCCACGGACCCAACUGAGUACCUGCCCCACGGACCGAGCCUCAGCCAGGCCCAGCAGGACUUGUGAGGAUUCUUUCCAGCUGUGCUCAAGUUACUCCUCCCAACGUACAUGGGGGAGACAGAUCCGAGAGGUUAAGCAACUGGCCCAAGGCUGCCCAGAUGGGCUGAGAAGCUGCACCAGGUGGGCAUCCUAAGGCCUGGGGCCCAGCCCAGGGCUGCCCCCUGGGACUUGGCCUUCACCCCUGGGCUCUGGCUCUGCCCCCGAGGCCCCAGAGGCCCCUGUCGCCUCCCUCAACAACGUGGCCAACAGUGCCCAGCGCAGGAACCGUGGCCCCCUCCGUGACGCGCGUGUGGCAGCAAGCCGGUAGAGGAGCGUCUGCUCCCAUCCCACAGGCCCAGAGACUCCAGCAAGCAGCUGGGGGUCACAUAGCAGGGAGGGCAGUUGCUCCCGAGACCAGACCCUGAAGCUGCUCUCUGACAGAGGAUCCAAGGCUACACCCAGGGUCUUCUGCCUCCUGAACCCACUCUGCUCAGUCGCCCGCCUCCCUGGGCCUGUUUCUCCACCUGCUCCUGAACCCACUCUGCUCAGCCGCCCGCCUCCCCAGGCCUGUUUCUCCACCUGAGCCCUGGCCCUGGCAGGCUGGCUCACAGCUCUGACUUGAGGAGGCAGGUGAAGGCGUCACCCUCCUCAGUAGCAGGCCCUGGCUCUGUGUGCUGCAGCCACCUACGGGAGGCAGAGCCCUGGUUCCCAGGAUUCACCAACCAGGGCCCACGGCAGGCACCGAAGGCCACAUCUGGGAGAGGUUCAGAGUGAGCGUCGGGAUGGGCCUGUGCCCAGGAGAGACCAGGGGAACCCACGUGGAGCCCAAGGCCUGUGGUUGGACUCUGUGGCCUGCUCUGCAGCCACGGAAGCCUCUUGGGCAGUAGAAAGGGUGGUCCUGUGUGGAUGUCAUGGCCUCCUUCACAUGUGAUCCUCCCAAGAUCUGGCUGGGAACAAACCCAAGCCUGGUGAGAAAUGCAUGGGGGACGAGGCUGGGGGUCCAACAACUUCUUUUCUUUCUUUUUUUUUGAGACAGAAUCUUGCACUGUCACCCAGCCUGGAGUGCAGCGGUGCAAUCUCGGCUCACUGCAGCCUCCGCCUCCCGGGUUCAAGCGAUUCUCCCAUCUCAGCCUCCUGAGUAGCUGGGAGUACAGAUAGGAGUCGCCGAGCGGAGCAGGCAGAAGGCCACCUGGAAAGGCCAGCAGGACCGUAGCCCUCACUCGCAGCAGUGGCCCCGGCUGUGGCACUCGGGACAGCCGAGAUGGAAGGAACAACGUGACAUGCGCUAGCGAGAAGGGAGACGGAGCCGCAGGCGGAUGAGACGCGGGUGACGGGAGCCAUGGAUGCACCAGAGCUUGGAGACAAAGCCACUCGAGGGCUCUGCAGAUUAGCCUGGCUUCUGGGGGCCUGAUGAGGGCUCCCACCCUGCCUCCUCCUGGGUCCCCCCAGCGCCCCUCAGAGGGUCCAGGUCCUUGCAGGAGGGCUGGGUCUGGGAGAGGCGCAGAGGAGCCUGGGAGCUGCACACCCAGGAUGGGUAGAGAAAUGGAUCAGCUUUGCUGUUGAAAAACCAGAUGUCACAUACGUCUGGGCCCUCUGGCCACACUGGGGAAAUGGCUCUGCUCCUCAGAGCUGUGCCCCGUGCACACCCAGUGAUGGCCACCACUCUGCGGACGCACACUCAGUGCACAACCUGCCCUGCCCGCCCGCCCCCAUUCAGUCCUUUCUGGAUUAUUCUGUGUUAUUGUGUGCCCAGCAUUGCAGUUAAGCCCCAGCACAAGACCUGAGUCUAUUUCACUGAGGGGAAACAAAGGAGGGGCCUGCCUAAGGCCCCCCAGCGCCCUGCCCUAG
This is an RNA transcript of Homo sapiens (human), 2997 nucleotides long. RefSeq lists it as uncharacterized. Lineage: Eukaryota; Metazoa; Chordata; Mammalia; Primates; Hominidae. The transcript has 5 exons. The record is from RefSeq and is a predicted model, not a curated record.